AUCCAUUUGUGGUUCAUAAGCAUGAUUAUUGGGUUUUCAUGCCGUGUGCGGUGUGCCUCCUUCAAACCUUGUUAUGACAUUGGCAUAUUACUUAUCUGACA
Molecule: small nucleolar RNA, 101 nt
Organism: Piliocolobus tephrosceles (Ugandan red Colobus)
Lineage: Eukaryota; Metazoa; Chordata; Mammalia; Primates; Cercopithecidae
Product: small nucleolar RNA U13
Exons: 1
Source: RefSeq, a predicted model, not a curated record